RNAcentral lists this long non-coding RNA (6380 nucleotides) under Sus scrofa (pig). Its description in RNAcentral is "lncRNA (ENSSSCG00025004928.1)". The record is from RNAcentral. Lineage: Eukaryota; Metazoa; Chordata; Mammalia; Artiodactyla; Suidae.
GCAUGUGCCAAUUGUUGCACUUUAUUUGCUGUAAAAGGAGUUCCUUGAUCAGAAGAAAUGCUAUAUGGAACAAUAUGAUGGUAUAUAAGGCAUUCUGUAUGCACAAGGAUGAUAGUUUGGUAGAAGUAUUGCACUCAGAGAAAUCAAAUCCAUGUCCAAAGUGUCUGUUCCAAUAAGAGCAAAGUGCUGCCCCUUCCACAAUGGAAGCAGUCCAGUAUAAUCAAACUGGUGCCAUAUUGGGAGCUCAAUAUUGCUCUCUUCUGCUCAUGGAUUGGGCACUCAGUAGCAACCAUAGCCAAGUUGGCCUUAAUGAGAAGUCCAUGUUCCAUGUUGUUGAGCUCAUACAUAACGUAUGAAUUUAGGAUCAGUCUUUCCAGUUUGGAAAAAAAGACUAUUGGAAUUUUUAUGGGGAUUGCAUUGAAGCUAUACAUUUCUUUAGGACAUACUGCCAUCUUAAGUCUUCUAAAGCAUGAACGUGGGAUAUCAUUCCAUUUAGUUGGGUCUCCUUUAAUUUCUUUCAGCAGUGUUCUGUAUCUUCUUGAAUUUGAUGAGACUUGUUUUGUGGCCUAACAUGUGAUCUAUGAUGGAGAAUGCUCCAUAUGCUCUGGAGAAGAAUGUAUAUUCUGCUGCUGCUAGAUGGAAUAUUUUGUAUAUGUCUGUUAGGCCCAUUUGGUCUAUAAUGUUGUCCAAUUCCACUGUUUUCUCAUUGAUUUUCUAUCUGGGUUAAACAUUGUUGAAAGUAGAGGAUUGAAGUUCCACCAUUGUAUUUCUCUCCCUUCAGAUCUGUUAUUUUUUCAUAUAUUUAGAUGCUCUGAUGUUAGGUGCAUAUAUAUUUACAACUGUUAUAUCCUCUUGAUGAAAUUACACCUUUAUCAUUAAUGACCUUGUCUUUCAUAACUGUUUUUGAGUUAAAGUCUAUUUUAUCCAAUGUAGGAAUAGGUACCCCUGCUCUCUUGGUUUCCACUUACAUGAAAUAUCUUUUUCCAUCUCUUCAUUUUCAGCCUAUGUGUAUCCUUAAAGCUUAGGUGAGUCUCUUGUAGGCAGCAUAUAGUUGAGUCUUGUUUUUUUUUUAACCCAUUUAGCCACUCUAUGACUUUCUAGUGGAUAAUUUAAUCCAUUUACAAGUAGCAUAUUUUUUUGAUAGAUGAGGACUUACUAAUGAUAUCUUAUUGUUUCCUGGGUCUUUUGUAGUUCCCUUAUUUCUUUCCUUUUAUCUUGCUGCCUUCAUGAACUGAUGAUUUUCAAUUUUGAUAUGCUUUGAUUCUCUUCUCUUUAUCUUUUGUGUACCUAUAGGUUUCUGCUUUGCAGUUACCAGGAGGUUUACAUAAAAUAGUUUAGAGAUAUAGCAGUCCAUUUUACACUGAUAAUGACUUAUCUUCAAUCACAUACAAAAACUCUACCUUUUUAGUCCUCCCUUUUAUGUUUUUGUUAUCACAGUUUACCUCUUUUUAUAGAUGUAUUCAUAAAUUAUUGCAGGUAUAAUUAUUUUUAAUACUUUUGCUCUUCAACAUUUAUACUAGAGCUAAGUGGUUAACACACACUAUAAAUAGUAUUAGAGUAUUCUGAUUUUGACCCAAUACUUACCUUUCCAUGUAUAUUUUCAUGUUACUAAUUCACAUCUUUUUAUGUUUUAAAGUUAUUAAUUAGCAUCUUUUCAUUUCAGCUUAAAUAACUUCCUUCAGCAUUUCUUACAAGUCUGGUGGUGAUUGACUCUCACCAGCUUUUGUUUGGGAAAGUGUUUAUAUCUCCUNUUUUUUGCUUUUUCAGGGCUCCACUUGCAUCAUGUGGAAGUUCCCAGGCUAGAGGUCUAAUCAGAGCUGUAGUUGCCAGCUUAUACAACAGCCACAGCAAGGCCAGAUCCUAGCCACAUCUGCCACCUACAUCACAGCUCACGGUGACAUCAGAUUCUUAACCCACUGAGCAAGGCCAGGAAUUGAACCCACACCCUCAUGGAUACUAAUUGGGUUAUUUCCACUGUGCCACAAUGGGAACUCCUGUAUCUCCUUGAUUUUUGAAAGACCACUUUGCCAGUUGGAUAUUACUGGUUGGGAGGGUUGUUUAUAUCAAUUGUAUAUAUUUUCUUUCAGUGGUAUAUAUUUCACUUUGAAUACAUAACUCUCUCCUGGCCUAUAAAGUUUCUGCUGAAAAAUCUGCUGAUAGACUUAUGGGAGUUCUUUUCUAAGUUAUAACCUCUCUUGCUGCUUUUAAGAUUCUUUUUGUCUUUAAUUUUUGACAGUGUCUUGGAGAAUAUCACUUUAAGUUGAAAUUGUUUGCUGACCUAUGAGCUUCAUGAAAUAGAAAUUCAUAACUUCAAAUCUCUACCCAGAUUUAGGACAUUCACAACCAUUAUUUCUUUCUUCCCUGUUCUACACCUCUCUUCUCCUUCUGGGACUCCAAUCAAUAAUUCACAGAUUGGUCCUUUUUAUGAUUAAUUUUGGCCAAUUUCAGCUCUUGGCACAGUAGCAGCUACUCAUUUUCAUUCCCUCAUCCACAGCCCUCUGGCAGGCAACUAUGCAUAUCUUCUAGAAACAACCUGUACAAAACUUGCAGGAGCCAGGAUGGGGGGUGGGGAGCCCCUGCCCUCUGAUUAUCAGGGAUCCAUGCUUUGACUACUGACUGAUCACAGAGGUGUAGAAAAGGGGUAGAACCAUUUUUGUUCUACCACCUCCCAUUGUCAGAAGCCUCUCUCCCUCUGGCUAAAGUGACUUCUAGUGGAUAUUAAGAGCCAGUGCCCCUUUUUCCCUCUUCAUUUUUCUCUAUUUCCCCUUUUACAAACCAGACAUUAAAUACAAUUUUCCUACAGAGGUAACUGCAACUAUGGAGGAAAUGAGAAGGUGACUGUGUACCUAUGGAGGAAAUGAAAAAGCAACUGUGCACCUACGGAGGAAAUGAGAAAGCAACUGUGCACGCCCAGGAAAGACAUGAGAAUACAUGAGAAAACCUUAUGUUUAUACCACAGGCUAAUCCUUAACACAAAAAUAACCUGCAACAAAUUAAAGACAAAGAAAAAUAAUAAAUAAAAACAAUUUUUUAUAAACUAGCAAACCCCUGGGGAGGGGGAGAACCAUGUCUGUGUUUACAUUAGACUCAAAUGCCCAGCUGUCAACAAAAUACACAAAAGAAAUAGAAAAUUAUGACCUGUUCAAAGGAAACAAACAAACAGAAACUAUCCCUGAAAAAGACCUGGGAGGCAGACCUCCUAGAAAGACUUUUCAUAUGACUCAUUUUUUUGUGAUAUUCACUUUACUGUAGCACUCCAGAAUUGAACCCACAAUAUUUCUGAGGUAUGCCUGUACUUUAAAUGUAAAUGUAUUAAACUUUCCAAUCAAAAGACAGAGAUUGGUAGAAUGAAUUUAUGAAAUCAUCCAGCCAUAUGUUAUCUAUAAUUGACUCAUUUUAGAUCCAAAAGUUCAAACAGACUGAAAGUGAAAGGAUGGGAAAAGAUACAUAAUGCAAAUAAUAACCAAAAGAAAGUAUAACAAAAUAACUUUACAUUUAUAAGAGACAAAGAGACAAAGUAUACAUUAAUACUAGGUUCAAUAUAGCAUGAAGAUACAACAAUAAUGAAUACCUGCACACCUAAUAACAGGCCAUCAAAAUAUAAGAAGAAAAGCUGACAAAAUUAAGGGGAUAAAUAGACAGUUCUACAGUAAUAGUUGGAGAUUUCAAAAGAAAAUAAGGAAAUCAAAGACUUAAACAGCACAAUAGCCAACUAGGUUUAAAAGACAUAUACAGAAUACUCUACACAACAACAUACACAUUCUUCUUAAGUGCACACGGCACACUUUCCAGGAUAGACAACAUCCUAAAUCACAAAUAACAUCUCAGUAGUUAAAAAGAUAGAUAUUAUACAAUGUAUCUUCUCCAAUCACAAUAGGAUGAAGUUAAAAAUAAGUAACAGAAUUAAUUUGGAAAAUUCACAAGUUUGUGGAAAUUAAACAACACAAUUGUUGGAACCCUUAUGGAUCAUUGUUGGGAAUGUAAAAUGGCAUGGCAAAUCCUUAAAAAUCUUUGAAUAGAAUUACCACAUGACCUAGAAAUUCCACUUCUGGGUAUAUACCCAGAAGAACUGACAGCAGGAUCUGAAAGAUAUAUUUGUAAUUCCAUGUUCAUAGGCAGCACUGUUCACAGUAACUAAAAUAUGGAAGAAAUCCAAAUAAGCAUUGACAGAUGAAUAGAUAAGCCAACUGUGGGGUAUAUACAUACAGUGGAAUAUACUCAGCCUUAGAAAGACAGGAAAUUCUGACCUAUGCUUCAACAUAGAUGAACCUUGAGGACAUAAUGCUAAGUAAAAUAGGCCAGUCACCAAAAAAAAAAAACAAAUAGUGUAUGGUCCACUUAUAUAAUGUACUUAGAGUAGUCAAAAUCAGAGACAGAAAAUAGGUAGAAUGAUGGCUGCCAGGGGCUAGAAAAGAGAGGGAUAGGGAGUUAGUUUUCAUUUUACAAGUUUUAUAAGUUAUGAAGAUAGAUGGUGGUGAUAAUUGUACAUUAGUGAUGUAUGUACUACUGCUGACCUGCACAAUUAAAAAUGACUUAAGAUGGUAAAUAUUAUAUUUUGUGACUUUACCACAAUUUUAAAAAUGAGGGAAUUCCAAUUUCUGAUUCCACAUAUAAUGAGUUUUGAAGUCACCAUUCUGUCCUAACAAUACAUAAAAAGCUGAACAGACUGAAAAAUCAAAAACUCUUCUUGGACCCACGAGAAGAGAAGACAUAGGGUAAACUGCUGUUCCCAAGACUGCAAAGACAGGCAAAUAGAGGGAUAUGCAGUAUACAGGAGCAGAGACUCACAAGUGGAAAAUAUUGAUUAAGCCAGUGCCAGGUAGGAAAUACUGAACUGUAAUUGAUGAAUUGCUGAAGGCUGAGUGUAGACAACACUGAGAGUUAAAAACUGCAGCAGGACUAGUCAUAAGUGGGCUGCCCACAAUACUGUGAGAUUUACCUGCAGAACCUCGACCAGAUUCCCAUAGUAAAUACUGGAGAAAAAUUCUCCGACUUCCAGCAGAAGGUGGGGGAAAAGGACCAUUUUGAAAUAAGAGCACUCUUUCCUUAAUAAAGUCCACCCUAAGGGGAAAUCUAGUUAACCAGAGUCUAACUUUAUAGGGUAUUAUUAGAACCUAAGUGAUCUGGGGAAGGGAAAUACCCAUUUUCAGCCCUCUCUAGCUAUCCAAUCAAACCAAUAAAACACUUGUGAAGUUCACAGUCCUGAGACACAGGCUCACUAAAAGACUGCGACUUAGUCAUAAAGCUACAAAAAGCUUCCCUUCCCCCUCACACCUCACCACCACAUUACUGAAAGCCACUCUGCAGCAGUGCCCUUUACUCCACACAUCAUGACUGGCUAUUAAGAAAAAAUUAGAAGGCAUACCAAAAGUCGAAAAACAUAUUUUGAAGAAACACAGCAAGCAUAAAAACCACACAUGGAAGGGGUAUUGGCAUUUUUUAGGAUGAGAAUUUAAAAUAAUUUUGAUUAAUAUGCUAAGGACUAUAAAGGAUAAAUUUGGCAGAAUGCAAGAACUGAUGGGCAAGCAAUGUAAGCAUUGCUUCAGUAUUGAUUAGCGAUAAAAAUCCUAAGAAAGAACUCAUAUCUAUAUAAGGAAGAACACUCAAGAAGGAAUUAAUGAAACUGACCAAAAUUAGACAAAGAGAAAAUCUUGAAAGCAGCUAGGGAAAAGAAACAAAUCACACAAGGGAACCCCAAUAAAGUUAUUAGCAUAUUUUUCAGCAGAAACUCUGUGGCUAGAAGGAAGUGGUAUGAUAUACUUAAUGUGAUGAAAGGAAAAAACCUCCAAUCAAGAUUACUUUACCCAGGAAGGCUCUCAUUCACAUUUGAAGGAGAAAUCAAAACCUUCACACAUAAGCAAAAGCUGAGAGAAUUCAGCAACACUAAACCAGCCUUACAACAAAUACUAAAGGAACUUCUCUAGGCAGAAAAGACAGCAACAGGUAACAAAAAUACCACAAAUGACAAGGCUCAGCAGUAAAGGUAAAUAUACAGUAAAGAUACAAAAUCAUCCAUGCACAAUUAUACUACCAAAUUCAGAAAGCAUGAGAAGAAGUGGGUACAAAUGGAGGACACUGGAGAUGAACUUGCAAUUAAGAGAACAACAACUUAAAACAAUCUCAUAUACAUAUAGAAUCGUAUAUCAAAACUUCAGAAUACCUGCAAACCAAAAAUCUAAAACUGAUACACAAAGAAAAAUCAACUCAAAUACAACACUAAAGAUAGUCAUCAAUCCAGAAGAGGAGAGAACAGAGAAGAAGGACAGAAAACAGAGCAACAAAAACAAAUCCAAAGCAAUUAAUAAAAUGGCAAUAAGAACAUACAUAUCAAUAAUUGCCUUAAAUGUUAAUGGGCUAAACACCCCAGCCAAAAGACAUAG